RNAcentral lists this ribosomal RNA (486 nucleotides) under uncultured bacterium. RNAcentral's name for it is "partial 16S ribosomal RNA". It matches the Rfam family "Bacterial small subunit ribosomal RNA", at positions 28 to 523 of the family's 1533-position model. The record is from RNAcentral.
GAUGAACGCUGGCGGCGUGCUUAACACAUGCAAGUCGAACGGAAAGGCCCCAGCUUGCUGGGGUACUCGAGUGGCGAACGGGUGAGUAACACGUGGGUGAUCUGCCCUGCACUUUGGGAUAAGCUUGGGAAACUGGGUCUAAUACCGGAUAUGACCACUUCUUGGAUGUUGUGGUGGAAAGCUUUUGCGGUGUGGGAUGAGCCUGCGGCCUAUCAGCUUGUUGGUGGGGUAAUGGCCUACCAAGGCGGCGACGGGUAUCCGGCCUGAGAGGGGGUACGGACACAUUGGGACUGAGGUACGGCCUAGACUCCUACGGGAGGCAGCAGUGGGGAAUAUUGCACAAUGGGCGCAAGCCUGAUGCAGCGACGCCGCGUGGGGGAUGAAGGCCUUCGGGUUGUAAACUCCUUUCGCUAUCGACGAAGCCACUUGUGGUGACGGUAGGUAGAUAAGAAGCACCGGCUAACUACGUGCCAGCAGCCGCGGUAA